This 74-nucleotide transfer RNA is filed under the name Variibacter gotjawalensis. It matches the Rfam family "tRNA". From Rfam's summary of the family: Transfer RNA (tRNA) molecules are approximately 80 nucleotides in length. Their secondary structure includes four short double-helical elements and three loops (D, anti-codon, and T loops). Lineage: Bacteria; Pseudomonadati; Pseudomonadota; Alphaproteobacteria; Hyphomicrobiales; Nitrobacteraceae. The record is from Rfam by way of RNAcentral.
CGGAGCGUAGCGCAGCCCGGUAGCGCACCUGCUUCGGGAGCAGGGGGUCGCAGGUUCGAAUCCUGCCGCUCCGA